This 73-nucleotide transfer RNA is filed under the name Felis catus (domestic cat). It matches the Rfam family "tRNA". Rfam says of the family: Transfer RNA (tRNA) molecules are approximately 80 nucleotides in length. Their secondary structure includes four short double-helical elements and three loops (D, anti-codon, and T loops). Lineage: Eukaryota; Metazoa; Chordata; Mammalia; Carnivora; Felidae. RNAcentral also lists the same sequence under 2 other names. The record is from Rfam by way of RNAcentral.
GCCUGGCUGGCUCAUUUGGAAGAGCGUGGGACUCUUGAUCUUGGGGUCAUGAGUUUGAGCCCCAUGUUAGGUA